UCAUUAGUUCUGUUUUGAUUUUAUGCGGGGUGUAAAUUUGAUCUUUGUUAUCUGGCAAAGCUGGCUUGGUCCCUAUGACUUUCCAACCUUUUAAAACUGAGUUCCUCAAAAAGACCAUAGGAUUUUUCACGUGGCUAAUGUUGAAGACUUCAAGAGCUCCAGCUGAAGCUUUACUAACGACCGGUGACAAGAAUGUAUUA
Molecule: non-coding RNA, 200 nt
Organism: Schizosaccharomyces pombe (fission yeast)
Lineage: Eukaryota; Fungi; Ascomycota; Schizosaccharomycetes; Schizosaccharomycetales; Schizosaccharomycetaceae
Source: the annotation of a GenBank genome assembly